Molecule: long non-coding RNA, 676 nt
Filed under: Sorghum bicolor (sorghum)
Lineage: Eukaryota; Viridiplantae; Streptophyta; Magnoliopsida; Poales; Poaceae
Description: long non-coding RNA (SBIC_LNC007345)
Source: RNAcentral
UGUACGUACUCCCACAUGCUGUAUGAUGUAUAUAAAUUAAUUAUCCAUGUAAAAAUAAAAAAAUUGGUGUACAUAUAUAUACUAUCUUCUAAGUGUCUGUUUAGAUUUGAGAUGAAAAAUUUUUGGUGUCAUAUCGGAUAUGUCCGGAUAUGUUGGAAGGAUGUCGGGAGGGAUUUUUUGAAACUAAUAAAAAAACAAAUUACAUAGCUCGUUAGGAAACUGUAAGACAAAUUUAGUCAUUAGCACAUGUGGGUUACUGUAGCACUUAAGGCUAAUCAUGGAUUAAUUAGGCUUAAAAGAUUCGUCUCUCGAUUUUCAACCAAACUUUGUAAUUAGUUUAUUUUUUUAUCUACAUUUAAUGUUCCAUGCAUGUGUCUAAAGAUUCGAUGGGAUGGAUGAAAAUUUUUUGAUUGGGGAACUAAACAGGGCCUAACUAUACGUGUUGGAAAGUUGUGUACCACUAAAGAUCUUGAUCUUAACUUCUCUAUUGUAUGUACACAUACACAUGCUCUCUGUCUAGAAGUAUGUAUAAAUACUCCCUAAUUAAGAUGUAUGUAUACAUACUCAUUUUCUAUAGAUUGAAUCUACAUAUACUCCCUAAUUGAGAUGUAUGUAUUGAUACUCUUGCUUAUGUUUUAUAUUUCAUUAAAAAAUGUAUAUAUAUUCUGGCACGCAC